AUGCUGUUUGUGCCUCUGAAAAAGACGUUUUUACGUUGAAACGUCAGUUUCCACUGCCCGUUAAACAAUGCGUUUCCAUUAGCUCUGAGCUAUGUGUACUCCACCGUCUCUUGUUUCCGUGUGAAUUUGUCCAGGUGUUGACGGCCUCCAGGUUCAUGACGUGGCGGAUGAUGUGGUACUCGUCUGCGAUGCCGUUCCCACCCAGCAUAUCCCUGGCCUGCCGGACGAUGUCCAAGGCCUUGCCGCAGUUGUUCCUCUUCAGCAUGGAGAUCAUCUCCGGGGCCGCCCUGGGGAAAGGACAGACAGAACCAGGGCUCAGCCUCUCCCUCUAAAGCCCAGAAAUACAGCAGGCUUCCUUGUAAAGGAAGCUCACUUCUUCUCAUCGAUGAGUCUGCCAAGCUGCAGACAGGACUGCAGUCCGAUGGUGAUCUCGGUCAGCAUGUCCGCCAUCUUCUUCUGCAUAAGCUGGUUCCUGGCCAGGGGAACACCAAACUGUAUCCUAGCACAUAGGGAUGGAGGAAGACAACUUCAGAUGAAACACGGAACUACACAGAAAAUACCCUCCUGUCUCCCCAAAUCCAUGUAGGCAGUCAAAAUGAUUUGUGCAACAUUUUACCACAUCCUGCCGCAGAACUGCUACUCGUCCUCCAGAUCAUUAUCCCUCCCAUUCGCAGACUAGACUUUGUCCUGUUUUUCUAGCUGCCGUACCUGUCCAGAGUGUACUGGCGCGCAGCGUGGAAACAGAACUCAGCGGCCCCCAGGGCGCCCCAGGCGAUGCCGUAACGAGCGUUGUUCAGACAGCCGAAGGGACCCUGUUCGAGAGAGGGAAAAUGGAGGACAGUCAGAAAACAAGUUGGCAGUUGACUGUGCAGCCAUGCUUAUUACCGCCGUAGCACGCAGGAGAUCACUCACUGCCAGGCCAGAGACUUUGGGCAGCAGGUUCUCCUCUGGCACCUCCACCUCGUCCAUCACGAUCAUGCCCGUGGCCGACGCCCGCAGGGAGAACUUGCCCUCGAUCUUGGGCGUGGUCAGGCCCGGCAUGCCGCGCUCCAGGAUGAAGCCUCGCACCCGGCCGUCCUCGCACUUGGCCCAAACCACGCAGACGUCUGCAACCGGAGAGUUGGUGAUCCUGGCGAGGGGCGACACA
This is a long non-coding RNA of Conger conger (European conger), 1147 nucleotides long. RefSeq lists it as uncharacterized. NCBI's taxonomy places the organism in Eukaryota, Metazoa, Chordata, Actinopteri, Anguilliformes, Congridae. The transcript is spliced from 3 exons. The record is from RefSeq and is a predicted model, not a curated record.